CCUACGGGGGGCAGCAGUGGGGAAUAUUGGACAAUGGGCGAAAGCCUGAUCCAGCCAUGCCGCGUGUGUGAAGAAGGCCUUCGGGUUGUAAAGCACUUUCAGUGGGGAAGAAAGCCUUGGGGCUAAUACCCUCGAGGAAGGACAUCACCCACAGAAGAAGCACCGGCUAACUCCGUGCCAGCAGCCGCGGUAAUACGGAGGGUGCGAGCGUUAAUCGGAAUUACUGGGCGUAAAGCGCGCGUAGGCGGUCUGAUAAGCCGGUUGUGAAAGCCCCGGGCUCAACCUGGGAACGGCAUCCGGAACUGUCAGGCUAGAGUGCAGGAGAGGAAGGUAGAAUUCCCGGUGUAGCGGUGAGAUGCGUAGAGAUCGGGAGGAAUACCAGUGGCGAAGGCGGCCUUCUGGACUGACACUGACGCUGAGGUGCGAAAGCGUGGGUAGCAAACAGGAUUAGAUACCCCAGUAGUC
RNAcentral lists this ribosomal RNA (465 nucleotides) under Vreelandella stevensii. RNAcentral's name for it is "partial 16S ribosomal RNA". It matches the Rfam family "Bacterial small subunit ribosomal RNA", at positions 338 to 795 of the family's 1533-position model. The record is from RNAcentral. Lineage: Bacteria; Pseudomonadati; Pseudomonadota; Gammaproteobacteria; Oceanospirillales; Halomonadaceae.